Molecule: ribosomal RNA, 498 nt
Filed under: uncultured bacterium
Lineage: Bacteria
Description: partial 16S ribosomal RNA
Rfam family: Bacterial small subunit ribosomal RNA
Source: RNAcentral
AUUGAACGCUGGCGGCAUGCCUUACACAUGCAAGUCGAACGGUAACAGGUCUUCGGAUGCUGACGAGUGGCGAAUGGGUGAGUAAUACAUCGGAACGUGCCUAGUAGUGGGGGAUAACUACUCGAAAGAGUGGCUAAUACCGCAUGAGAUCUACGGAUGAAAGCAGGGGAUCGCAAGGCCUCGUGCUACUAGAGCGGCCGGUGGCAGAUUAGGUAGUUGGUGGGAUAAAAGCUUACCAAGCCGACGGUCUGUGGCUGGUCUGGGAGGACGAUCAGCCAGACUGGGACGGAGACACGGCCCAGACGCCAGCGGGAGGCAGCAGUGGGGAAUUUUGGACAAUGGGCGCAAGCCUGAUCCAGCAAUGCCGCGUGCAGGAUGAAGGCCUUCGGGUUUUAAACUGCUUUUGUACGGAACGAAAAGCCCCGGGUUAAUACCCUGGGGUCAUGACGGUACCGUAAGAAUAAGCACCGGCUAACUACGUGCCAGCCGCCGCCGUAA